Molecule: transfer RNA, 677 nt
Filed under: Brasilonema sp. CR6-4B
Lineage: Bacteria; Bacillati; Cyanobacteriota; Cyanophyceae; Nostocales; Scytonemataceae
Description: 16S-23S ribosomal RNA intergenic spacer
Rfam family: tRNA (bases 324-396)
Source: RNAcentral
UUUAGGGAGACCCAAAUCAAUUCAAAAGUCAAAAUUCAAUAUUCAAAAACGGCAAAAAGUUUUUUGGAAAUUGGAUUAAUCAUAUAACUUUGAAUUGAUUUUAUCCCGAGGUCGGUCGCAAGCAAAGUGUAAGCUUUCAAACUAUAAGUUAGGUUCGGAUAUGGGCUAUUAGCUCAGGUGGUUAGAGCGCACCCCUGAUAAGGGUGAGGUCCCUGGUUCGAGUCCCGGAUGGCCCACCUGAAAACAGUGAACAGUGUGCAGUAAACAGUGGUCAUAAACAAAAAAUGAUAACUGUGAACUGGUAACUGUGAAUUGAAAUUUAGGGGGGUAUAGCUCAGUUGGUAGAGCGCCUGCUUUGCAAGCAGGAUGUCAGGAGUUCGAGUCUCCUUACCUCCACCUGCGCCCUAAGUAAUUAACUUUUGUGAUUCCACCCUUGUUGAGUGUACUCAAAUAGCUGCAAAACAAAGUAGAGUGCACGCAAGUGAGAAAAGCAAAAGCAAAAUUAUCAUCCGAAAAAAAAUUGGAAUAAAGUUUCAGCAUCUUGUGAUCUAAAGCAAGAAUGCUGGGAGAUUUCCAGCAAAAGAACCUUGAAAACUGCAUAGAAACGCGAAAAUUGUCAGGUAGUUAACUAUCAACAACAGUUAAGACUUCCAUAAAAAGCAGUAAUGAUUGUUUGU